Molecule: ribosomal RNA, 254 nt
Filed under: uncultured bacterium
Lineage: Bacteria
Description: partial 16S ribosomal RNA
Rfam family: Bacterial small subunit ribosomal RNA
Source: RNAcentral
UACGUAGGGGGCAAGCGUUGUCCGGAUUUAUUGGGCGUAAAGCGCGUGUAGGCGGCCAGAAAAGUCCGCUGUGAAAACUCGAGGCUCAACUUCGAGCUGUCGGUGGAAACUUUCUGGCUAGAGUCCGGAAGAGGAGAAUGAAAUUCCUGGUGUAGCGGUGAAAUGCGCAGAUAUCAGGAAGAACACCCGUGGCGAAGGCGGUUCUCUGGGACGGCAACUGACGCUGAGGCACGAAAGCGUGGGGAGCAAACAGG